AGUGAACGCUGGCGGUAGGCCUAACACAUGCAAGUCGAACAGCAGCACAGUAAGAGCUUGCUCUUACGGGUGGCGAGUGGCGGACGGGUGAGGAAUACAUCGGAAUCUACUUUUUCGUGGGGGAUAACGUAGGGAAACUUACGCUAAUACCGCAUACGACCUACGGGUGAAAGCAGGGGAUCUUCGGACCUUGCGCGAUUGAAUGAGCCGAUGUCGGAUUAGCUAGUUGGCGGGGUAAAGGCCCACCAAGGCGACGAUCCGUAGCUGGUCUGAGAGGAUGAUCAGCCACACUGGAACUGAGACACGGUCCAGACUCCUACGGGAGGCAGCAGUGGGGAAUAUUGGACAAUGGGCGCAAGCCUGAUCCAGCCAUACCGCGUGGGUGAAGAAGGCCUUCGGGUUGUAAAGCCCUUUUGUUGGGAAAGAAAAGCAGCAGGUUAAUACCCCGCUAUUCUGACGGUACCCAAAGAAUAAGCACCGGCUAACUUCGUG
RNAcentral lists this ribosomal RNA (492 nucleotides) under uncultured bacterium. RNAcentral describes it as "partial 16S ribosomal RNA". It matches the Rfam family "Bacterial small subunit ribosomal RNA", at positions 29 to 507 of the family's 1533-position model. The record is from RNAcentral.